RNAcentral lists this ribosomal RNA (1434 nucleotides) under uncultured bacterium. Its description in RNAcentral is "bacterial SSU rRNA". It matches the Rfam family "Bacterial small subunit ribosomal RNA". The record is from RNAcentral.
AGAGUUUGAUCCUGGCUCAGGAUGAACGCCGGCGGUGUGCCUAAUACAUGCAAGUCGUACGCACUGGCCCAACUGAUUGAUGGUGCUUGCACCUGAUUGACGAUGGAUCACCAGUGAGUGGCGGACGGGUGAGUAACACGUAGGUAACCUGCCUCGGAGCGGGGGAUAACAUUUGGAAACAGAUGCUAAUACCGCAUAACAACAAAAGCCACAUGGCUUUUGUUUGAAAGAUGGCUUUGGCUAUCACUCUGGGAUGGACCUGCGGUGCAUUAGCUAGUUGGUAAGGUAACGGCUUACCAAGGCAAUGAUGCAUAGCCGAGUUGAGAGACUGAUCGGCCACAAUGGAACUGAGACACGGUCCAUACUCCUACGGGAGGCAGCAGUAGGGAAUCUUCCACAAUGGGCGCAAGCCUGAUGGAGCAACACCGCGUGAGUGAAGAAGGGUUUCGGCUCGUAAAGCUCUGUUGUUGGAGAAGAACGUGCGUGAGAGUAACUGUUCACGCAGUGACGGUAUCCAACCAGAAAGUCACGGCUAACUACGUGCCAGCAGCCGCGGUAAUACGUAGGUGGCAAGCGUUAUCCGGAUUUAUUGGGCGUAAAGCGAGCGCAGGCGGUUGCUUAGGUCUGAUGUGAAAGCCUUCGGCUUAACCGAAGAAGUGCAUCGGAAACCGGGCGACUUGAGUGCAGAAGAGGACAGUGGAACUCCAUGUGUAGCGGUGGAAUGCGUAGAUAUAUGGAAGAACACCAGUGGCGAAGGCGGCUGUCUGGUCUGCAACUGACGCUGAGGCUCGAAAGCAUGGGUAGCGAACAGGAUUAGAUACCCUGGUAGUCCAUGCCGUAAACGAUGAGUGCUAGGUGUUGGAGGGUUUCCGCCCUUCAGUGCCGGAGCUAACGCAUUAAGCACUCCGCCUGGGGAGUACGACCGCAAGGUUGAAACUCAAAGGAAUUGACGGGGGCCCGCACAAGCGGUGGAGCAUGUGGUUUAAUUCGAAGCUACGCGAAGAACCUUACCAGGUCUUGACAUCUUGCGCUAACCUUAGAGAUAAGGCGUUCCCUUCGGGGACGCAAUGACAGGUGGUGCAUGGUCGUCGUCAGCUCGUGUCGUGAGAUGUUGGGUUAAGUCCCGCAACGAGCGCAACCCUUGUUACUAGUUGCCAGCAUUAAGUUGGGCACUCUAGUGAGACUGCCGGUGACAAACCGGAGGAAGGUGGGGGCGACGUCAGAUCAUCAUGCCCCUUAUGACCUGGGCUACACACGUGCUACAAUGGACGGUACAACGAGUCGCAAGCUCGCGAGAGUAAGCUAAUCUCUUAAAGCCGUUCUCAGUUCGGACUGUAGGCUGCAACUCGCCUACACGAAGUCGGAAUCGCUAGUAAUCGCGGAUCAGCAUGCCGCGGUGAAUACGUUCCCGGGCCUUGCACACACCGCCCGUCA